ACCCAAUUGAAAUUCACAGCUUAAUACUCGUACCUCUCGCAAAUCCAUACAACACAUCAAUCCUAGAUAUAAUCACAAACUAAUUCAAAAGCCUCAAAAGUUCAAUAAGAAAACAAACACAACUAAAAACAAAAAAAAAGAAGAAGAAGAUAAUGAAAAAUUAGAUAAAAGCAGCAGCAUAAGAACUAAGAAAGGCUUGGAAAUGAAGAUACAUGCAGCAGUUGGGAGAACCACAAAAGUCAUCUUCUCUUCCCACCAGAA
RNAcentral lists this unclassified non-coding RNA (261 nucleotides) under Hevea brasiliensis (rubber tree). The record is from RNAcentral. Lineage: Eukaryota; Viridiplantae; Streptophyta; Magnoliopsida; Malpighiales; Euphorbiaceae.